RNAcentral lists this unclassified non-coding RNA (651 nucleotides) under Hevea brasiliensis (rubber tree). Lineage: Eukaryota; Viridiplantae; Streptophyta; Magnoliopsida; Malpighiales; Euphorbiaceae. The record is from RNAcentral.
CUGAUUAUGAUGUGUCUGCAAUAGCACGGUAGCAACCCUGCAAACAAGCUCAACCUUAUCAGGAUUUGAGGCCCAAUCCUUCAAGUAUGAGAGCAGCUUCAGAGCAUCCGAGAAUGGUAAAGCCAGUAAUGUCUGCUCCAGAUCAUUGGUGUGAACAUUUGAAAUUGCACGAAGAACAUAAUCAGAUGCUGCAAGCCCAUGCAAAAUAGGGUUUGGUUGGAACUCAGUAACUCUUCCCCUGGUUUUCUCCUCCUCAUGCUCAGCAAUGCGCUUCAGUUCCACCUCUGCUGCAUCUAAUGCAUCAAUAAUCAAGUCAGUUGCUGUAAGGGUUUCUUGAGUUCUCUUUCCUGCCAAGGCCACAGCUCCCUCCUCUGGGAGUUCGUCCUUGGAUGCAUAUCUGUUUUCAAAUGCAUUGUCAAGGUCAGCCUCAAACAUUUCUUCCAAUCUUUUUUCCUUCUCUUCUUCAAUGAAAAAUGGUUCUUCCGUCCGAUCCCAGCGACGUAUGGAUCGGUCAUGAGACCCUGUGACAACAAAAUCACCACGGUUNNACGGUUGCUGAUUGCAAGACACCAAACAUCUGCAUGAUGUCCCUCAAGAGUUAAAAGCAGUUCAAACUUAUCAGCAUCCCAGUAUUUUACAAGGCGAUCUUUC